UACGGGGGGAGCAAGCGUUGUCCGGAUUUACUGGGCGUAAAGGGCGCGUAGGCGGCGUGACAAGUCACUUGUGAAAUCUCCGGGCUUAACCCGGAGCGGUCAAGUGAUACUGUCGUGCUAGAGUGCGGAAGGGGCUACUGGAAUUCUCGGUGUAGCGGUGAAAUGCGUAGAUAUCGAGAGGAACACCUGCGGCGAAGGCGGGUAGCUGGGCCGACACUGACGCUGAUGCGCGAAAGCCAGGGGAGCGAACGGG
Molecule: ribosomal RNA, 253 nt
Filed under: uncultured bacterium
Lineage: Bacteria
Description: partial 16S ribosomal RNA
Rfam family: Bacterial small subunit ribosomal RNA
Source: RNAcentral